Molecule: ribosomal RNA, 274 nt
Filed under: uncultured bacterium
Lineage: Bacteria
Description: partial 16S ribosomal RNA
Rfam family: Bacterial small subunit ribosomal RNA
Source: RNAcentral
AUACGGAGGGGGUUAGCGUUGUUCGGAAUUACUGGGCGUAAAGCGCACGUAGGCGGACUGGAAAGUUGGGGGUGAAAUCCCGGGGCUCAACCCCGGAACUGCCUCCAAAACUUCCAAUCUAGAGAUCGAGAGAGGUGAGUGGAAUUCCAAGUGUAGAGGUGUAAUUCGUAGAUAUUUGGAGGAACACCAGUGGCGAAGGCGGCUCACUGGCUCGAUACUGACGCUGAGGUGCGAAAGCGUGGGGAGCAAACAGGAUUAGAAACCCCAGUAGUCC